CAGGGAUUGCCCUAGUAACGGCGAGUGAAGCGGCAACAGCUCAAAUUUGAAAUCUGGCUUCGGCCCGAGUUGUAAUUUGCAGAGGAAGCUUUAGGCGCGGCACUUUCUGAGUCCCCUGGAACGGGGCGCCAUAGAGGGUGAGAGCCCCGUAUAGUUAGAUGCCUAGCCUGUGUAAAGCUCCUUCGACGAGUCGAGUAGUUUGGGAAUGCUGCUCAAAAUGGGAGGUAAAUUUCUUCUAAAGCUAAAUACCGGCCAGAGACCGAUAGCGCACAAGUAGAGUGAUCGAAAGAUGAAAAGCACUUUGAAAAGAGGGUUAAAUAGCACGUGAAAUUGUUGAAAGGGAAGCGCUUGUGACCAGACUUGCGCCGGGCAGAUCAUCCGGUGUUCUCACCGGUGCACUCUGCCCGGCUCAGGCCAGCAUCGGUUCUCGCGGGGGGAUAAAGGCCCUGGGAACGUAGCUCCUCCGGGAGUGUUAUAGCCCGGGGCGUAAUGCCCUCGCGGGGACCGAGGUUCGCGCAUCUGCAAGGAUGCUGGCGUAAUGGUCAUCAGCGACCCGUCUUGAAACACGGACCAAGGAGUCAAGGUUUUGCGCGAGUGUUUGGGUGUAAAACCCGCACGCGUAAUGAAAGUGAACGUAGGUGAGAGCUUCGGCGCAUCAUCGACCGAUCCUGAUGUUUUCGGAUGGAUUUGAGUAGGAGCGUUAAGCCUUGGACCCGAAAGAUGGUGAACUAUGCUUGGAUAGGGUGAAGCCAGAGGAAACUCUGGUGGAGGCUCGCAGCGGUUCUGACGUGCAAAUCGAUCGUCAAAUCUGAGCAUGGGGGCGAAAGACUAAUCG
RNAcentral lists this ribosomal RNA (835 nucleotides) under Chaetomium sacchari. RNAcentral's name for it is "partial large subunit ribosomal RNA". It matches the Rfam family "Eukaryotic large subunit ribosomal RNA", at positions 69 to 937 of the family's 3401-position model. Lineage: Eukaryota; Fungi; Ascomycota; Sordariomycetes; Sordariales; Chaetomiaceae. The record is from RNAcentral.